UCGUCAUGGUGGUGGUGAUGGUGAUGGUGAUCAUCAUGGGGCUCAUGGGACUCAUGGGCAUGAUGAUGAUCGUCGUCAUCGUCAUCAUCAUCA
This 93-nucleotide unclassified non-coding RNA is filed under the name Prevotella sp. tc2-28. RNAcentral describes it as "microRNA mir-598". Lineage: Bacteria; Pseudomonadati; Bacteroidota; Bacteroidia; Bacteroidales; Prevotellaceae. The record is from RNAcentral.